UACGUAGGUGACAAGCGUUGUCCGGAUUUACUGGGCGUAAAGAGCGCGCAGGCGGUCGAUCAAGUCGAGUGUGAAAGCCCCCGGCUCAACUGGGGAGGGUCAUUCGAUACUGAUCGACUCGAAGGCAGGAGAGGGUAGUGGAAUUCCCGGUGUAGUGGUGAAAUGCGUAGAUAUCUGGAGGAACACCGGUGGCGAAGGCGGCAUCCUGGACCAUUACUGACGCUGAGGAGCGAAAGCCAGGGGAGCAAACGGG
Molecule: ribosomal RNA, 253 nt
Filed under: uncultured bacterium
Lineage: Bacteria
Description: partial 16S ribosomal RNA
Rfam family: Bacterial small subunit ribosomal RNA
Source: RNAcentral